UAGAGUUUGAUCCUGGCUCAGAACGAACGCUGGCGGCAUGCCUAACACAUGCAAGUCGAACGAAGGCUUCGGCCUUAGUGGCGCACGGGUGCGUAACGCGUGGGAAUCUGCCCUUUGCUACGGAAUAACUCGGGGAAACUCGUGCUAAUACCGUAUGAUGUCGCAAGACCAAAGAUUUAUCGGCAGGGGAUGAGCCCGCGUAGGAUUAGCUAGUUGGUGGGGUAAAGGCUCACCAAGGCGACGAUCCUUAGCUGGUCUGAGAGGAUGAUCAGCCACACUGGGACUGAGACACGGCCCAGACUCCUACGGGAGGCAGCAGUGGGGAAUAUUGGACAAUGGGCGCAAGCCUGAUCCAGCAAUGCCGCGUGAGUGAUGAAGGCCUUAGGGUUGUAAAGCUCUUUUACCCGGGAAGAUAA
Molecule: ribosomal RNA, 416 nt
Filed under: Rhizorhabdus wittichii
Lineage: Bacteria; Pseudomonadati; Pseudomonadota; Alphaproteobacteria; Sphingomonadales; Rhizorhabdaceae
Description: bacterial SSU rRNA
Rfam family: Bacterial small subunit ribosomal RNA
Source: RNAcentral